AAACCAUGCACCGAAGCUGCGGCAGCGACGCUGAUGCGUUGUUGGGUAGGGGAGCGUUCUGUAAGCCUGCGAAGGUGGCCUGUGAGGGUUGCUGGAGGUAUCAGAAGUGCGAAUGCUGACAUAAGUAACGAUAAAGCGGGUGAAAAGCCCGCUCGCCGGAAGACCAAGGGUUCCUGUCCAACGUUAAUCGGGGCAGGGUGAGUCGACCCCUAAGGCGAGGCCGAAAGGCGUAGUCGAUGGGAAACGGGUUAAUAUUCCCGUACUUGGUGUUACUGCGAAGGGGGGACGGAGAAGGCUAUGUUGGCCGGGCGACGGUUGUCCCGGUUUAAGCGUGUAGGUGUGUGUUCCAGGUAAAUCCGGUUCACUUUAACACUGAGGCGUGAUGACGAGGCACUACGGUGCUGAAGCAACAAAUGCCCUGCUUCCAGGAAAAGCCUCUAAGCAUCAGGUAACAUCAAAUCGUACCCCAAACCGACACAGGUGGUCAGGUAGAGAAUACCAAGGCGCUUGAGAGAACUCGGGUGAAGGAACUAGGCAAAAUGGUGCCGUAACUUCGGGAGAAGGCACGCUGACACGUAGGUGAAGUGAUUUACUCAUGGAGCUGAAGUCAGUCGAAGAUACCAGCUGGCUGCAACUGUUUAUUAAAAACACAGCACUGUGCAAACACGAAAGUGGACGUAUACGGUGUGACGCCUGCCCGGUGCCGGAAGGUUAAUUGAUGGGGUCAGCGCAAGCGAAGCUCCUGAUCGAAGCCCCGGUAAACGGCGGCCGUAACUAUAACGGUCCUAAGGUAGCGAAAUUCCUUGUCGGGUAAGUUCCGACCUGCACGAAUGGCGUAAUGAUGGCCAGGCUGUCUCCACCCGAGACUCAGUGAAAUUGAACUCGCUGUGAAGAUGCAGUGUACCCGCGGCAAGACGGAAAGACCCCGUGAACCUUUACUAUAGCUUGACACUGAACAUUGAGCCUUGAUGUGUAGGAUAGGUGGGAGGCUUUGAAGUGUGGACGCCAGUCUGCAUGGAGCCGACCUUGAAAUACCACCCUUUAAUGUUUGAUGUUCUAACGUGGACCCGUGAUCCGGGUUGCGGACAGUGUCUGGUGGGUAGUUUGACUGGGGCGGUCUCCUCCUAAAGAGUAACGGAGGAGCACGAAGGUUGGCUAAUCCUGGUCGGACAUCAGGAGGUUAGUGCAAUGGCAUAAGCCAGCUUGACUGCGAGCGUGACGGCGCGAGCAGGUGCGAAAGCAGGUCAUAGUGAUCCGGUGGUUCUGAAUGGAAGGGCCAUCGCUCAACGGAUAAAAGGUACUCCGGGGAUAACAGGCUGAUACCGCCCAAGAGUUCAUAUCGACGGCGGUGUUUGGCACCUCGAUGUCGGCUCAUCACAUCCUGGGGCUGAAGUAGGUCCCAAGGGUAUGGCUGUUCGCCAUUUAAAGUGGUACGCGAGCUGGGUUUAGAACGUCGUGAGACAGUUCGGUCCCUAUCUGCCGUGGGCGCUGGAGAACUGAGGGGGGCUGCUCCUAGUACGAGAGGACCGGAGUGGACGCAUCACUGGUGUUCGGGUUGUCAUGCCAAUGGCACUGCCCGGUAGCUAAAUGCGGAAGAGAUAAGUGCUGAAAGCAUCUAAGCACGAAACUUGCCCCGAGAUGAGUUCUCCCUGAGACUUUAGGUCUCCUGAAGGAACGUUGAAGACGACGACGUUGAUAGGCCGGGUGUGUAAGCGCAGCGAUGCGUUGAGCUAACCGGUACUAAUGAACCGUGAGGCUUAACCUU
This 1765-nucleotide ribosomal RNA is filed under the name Salmonella enterica subsp. enterica serovar Montevideo. RNAcentral's name for it is "partial 23S ribosomal RNA". It matches the Rfam family "Bacterial large subunit ribosomal RNA", at positions 1184 to 2925 of the family's 2925-position model. Lineage: Bacteria; Pseudomonadati; Pseudomonadota; Gammaproteobacteria; Enterobacterales; Enterobacteriaceae. The record is from RNAcentral.